ACUACAUCGAAGAGAACUGCUUUCUUGUGCUACGAUUUUACAUCAGCGAAGUACUACGAGCGACAAAGGACAAAGGCAGUCCUACAUGAGAAGUAAUGCAAGAGGCCUACUUCACCUGCUACAA
RNAcentral lists this long non-coding RNA (124 nucleotides) under Polistes fuscatus (common paper wasp). RNAcentral's name for it is "uncharacterized LOC122526757". The record is from RNAcentral. Lineage: Eukaryota; Metazoa; Arthropoda; Insecta; Hymenoptera; Vespidae.